UGUUAUAAUACGAUCACGCCACCUUAUCGUCCCACUUUCGGCGGCAAUCGAGAGUGUAUAAAAAGGCGUCUCAGUGCUUGAGUCCAGCAUAACACAUUUUUGUGCAAUUUUAUUCAUUGUUUUCACUUUGUUCAACAAAAACCAACCAAAAAUCAAAAAUGGGCGCUGAAAAAGUAACCAUGAACAUCGUUGUCGUUGGACAAGUCCAAUCUGCCAAGGCCAUCAAAUCGGUCGCCAAAGCCACCCCAGCCACCAGCCAAUUGAUGAACUGUUAAUUCACCAUGUCCAUUAUCUCAAACUCAAACAUGCCAUAGCCCAAACAGUACAUUGUAAUAUGUGUAUUGACAUUGCAAAAUAAAUUGAAUAUCCGUUUUUUUUUUUUUUUAAAAA
Myzus persicae (green peach aphid) is the source of this 390-nucleotide long non-coding RNA. RefSeq lists it as uncharacterized. The transcript has 3 exons. The record is from RefSeq and is a predicted model, not a curated record. NCBI's taxonomy places the organism in Eukaryota, Metazoa, Arthropoda, Insecta, Hemiptera, Aphididae.